This 254-nucleotide unclassified non-coding RNA is filed under the name uncultured bacterium. RNAcentral describes it as "contains 16S-23S intergenic spacer region". It matches the Rfam family "Bacterial small subunit ribosomal RNA", at positions 524 to 776 of the family's 1533-position model. The record is from RNAcentral.
UACGAAGGCCCCGAGCGUUAAUCGAAAUUAUUGGGCGUAAAGGGUCCGCAGGCGGGAUAGUAAGUCGGCUGUAAAAUCCUGUGGCUUAACCACAUGGUCCGCAGUUGAUACUACUAUUCUUGAGGAACGGAGAGGUGAGUGGAACUCCUGGUGGAGCGGUGAAAUGCGUUGAUAUCAGGGGGAACACCAAUUGCGAAAGCAGCUCACUGGCCGUUUCCUGACGCUCAGGGACGAAAGCGUGGGUAGCGAAUGGG